UACGGAGGGGGCAAGCGUUGUUCGGAAUUACUGGGCGUAAAGCGUGCGCAGGCGGCCCGUUAAGACAGGUGUGAAAUCCCUGGGCUCAACCUAGGAAUUGCGCUUGUGACUGGCGGGCUCGAGUACGGUAGAGGGGGGUGGAAUUCCUGGUGUAGCAGUGAAAUGCGUAGAGAUCAGGAGGAACACCGAUGGCGAAGGCAGCCCCCUGGGCCUGUACUGACGCUCAUGCACGAAAGCGUGGGGAGCAAACAGG
This 253-nucleotide ribosomal RNA is filed under the name uncultured microorganism. RNAcentral's name for it is "partial 16S ribosomal RNA". It matches the Rfam family "Bacterial small subunit ribosomal RNA", at positions 524 to 776 of the family's 1533-position model. The record is from RNAcentral.